GACGAACGCUGGCGGCGUGCUUAACACAUGCAAGUCGAACGGAAAGGCCCUGCUUUUGUGGGGUGCUCGAGUGGCGAACGGGUGAGUAACACGUGAGUAACCUGCCCUUGACUUUGGGAUAACUUCAGGAAACUGGGGCUAAUACCGGAUAGGAGCUCCUGCUGCAUGGUGGGGGUUGGAAAGUUUCGGCGGUUGGGGAUGGACUCGCGGCUUAUCAGCUUGUUGGUGGGGUAGUGGCUUACCAAGGCUUUGACGGGUAGCCGGCCUGAGAGGGUGACCGGCCACAUUGGGACUGAGAUACGGCCCAGACUCCUACGGGAGGUAGCAGUGGGGAAUAUUGCACAAUGGGCGGAAGCCUGAUGCAGCAACGCCGCGUGCGGGAUGACGGCCUUCGGGUUGUAAACCGCUUUCGCCUGUGACGCAGCGUGAGUGACGGUAAUGGGUAAAGAAGCACCGGCUAACUACGUG
Molecule: ribosomal RNA, 468 nt
Filed under: uncultured bacterium
Lineage: Bacteria
Description: partial 16S ribosomal RNA
Rfam family: Bacterial small subunit ribosomal RNA
Source: RNAcentral